RNAcentral lists this ribosomal RNA (525 nucleotides) under Staphylococcus aureus. RNAcentral's name for it is "partial 23S ribosomal RNA". It matches the Rfam family "Bacterial large subunit ribosomal RNA", at positions 1603 to 2129 of the family's 2925-position model. The record is from RNAcentral. Lineage: Bacteria; Bacillati; Bacillota; Bacilli; Caryophanales; Staphylococcaceae.
CACUGCCGAGAAAAGCCUCUAGAUAGAAAAUAGGUGCCCGUACCGCAAACCGACACAGGUAGUCAAGAUGAGAAUUCUAAGGUGAGCGAGCGAACUCUCGUUAAGGAACUCGGCAAAAUGACCCCGUAACUUCGGGAGAAGGGGUGCUCUUUAGGGUUAACGCCCAGAAGAGCCGCAGUGAAUAGGCCCAAGCGACUGUUUAUCAAAAACACAGGUCUCUGCUAAACCGUAAGGUGAUGUAUAGGGGCUGACGCCUGCCCGGUGCUGGAAGGUUAAGAGGAGUGGUUAGCUUCUGCGAAGCUACGAAUCGAAGCCCCAGUAAACGGCGGCCGUAACUAUAACGGUCCUAAGGUAGCGAAAUUCCUUGUCGGGUAAGUUCCGACCCGCACGAAAGGCGUAACGAUUUGGGCACUGUCUCAACGAGAGACUCGGUGAAAUCAUAGUACCUGUGAAGAUGCAGGUUACCCGCGACAGGACGGAAAGACCCCGUGGAGCUUUACUGUAGCCUGAUAUUGAAAUUCGGCA